Long non-coding RNA from Clupea harengus (Atlantic herring), 2710 nucleotides. NCBI's taxonomy places the organism in Eukaryota, Metazoa, Chordata, Actinopteri, Clupeiformes, Clupeidae. The record is from Ensembl.
UCUCCCUCACUUAGAACUCCCACUAACAUUCAAAUGACUUUGUUGUCAUGUUGUCUUAAUACGCCUUGCUGCCAGUAACCAGACACAAAGCACUUUUGGUUCACUUUUCUUGUCCACUCGUCUUCCAUGUGUCUUGGCCACUUCUUCAAAACAGCAUCAUAUGUUGCUGAAAAGGCAAUUUCAUGUUUAGCUUAUAAGUAUUUUGAGGAAACACUGUUGCAAGAACAUGCAGGUAAUGUAGAAAAAUAUAAUUUGUCAGUCACAUGUUCAGUUGAAUUGAAUUGACUAGGUGUUGUGUAUUGUAACCUACAGCAACAGGUGGUGCGCAAUGUAGGAAAUGCUGAGGAAGGAAAUUGAUGCGCUCUAUGCGUGGGACAUGUGUGUCGUUUUUAGACGCAACUGAACUGGCCGUUCCCAGUGUGCGAUCUGUGGUUUCUUGAACAUCUUGUGGAGUUGUAACAGUUAUGUCAGUUUCUUCUUCGGUACAAAUCCGCUUAAACGCAGUGGGUUUGGUACUUCUUGCGUGCAAUGUGGUGUGCAUUGCCUGGUUUUUGCUGUCAAAGGAAUCCCUGAACGGGCGUGACCCUGGAAACUCAUCCUCUAAAGCACAUUGGUUCCUUAAAGUAUCCAGAGACGACAGCCACACUGAAGUGUUAGGCCCAGUGAGAUGGGAGCAGGAGCACAACCCCAGGGGCAUGUCCUUGGACCCGAGCAAGACUCGGAUCGCCGUGGACGACGACGGAAUUUAUGUAGUGUUCGUGCAGGCCGUCUUCAUUCUGAGGAGCGGGAGCACGGACACUGGACAGACGGACAAAAGAGUCCGCCUACGGCUCCAGCUCAACACCAAUGGCACUGAUGGGAUCCCCGAGGACCAGUUGGUUGCAGCCUGGGACGAACGAGAGGUUAAGGACGUUCACGACGAGCAGAUAGUGCAUCUGAGUUUCAUGGUGCUGCUGGAGCUGAAGAAAAGCCAGUACAUACGCGUCAUGGCCAAGCACCGGGACAAGCUGGACUACAACACACCACUCUCCACGUUCCUAACCAUCGUCAAGCAUUCCGAUUUGCAGGACUAAAGCGUGCUCUGAAUGUGUUGCCUGUUUUGACAGAAGUCCUUUUUCUCAAUCGCCAUCUGUCCAUUUUGACCCUAACCAACCUGCUCACAGGGUAAGGGUCAACCAGCUUCCAGCGCACUAUCAGCACUAUCCUACCUUAGCAUCAAUGGGCAGAUUUGCUUACGUUGCCCCCUCUUGUGCAGUGAACCAUUAGUUAUCUGUGGUUGAAAGUUCCUAGAAAUGCUUUGGGUGUCUUUUUUUUUUUGCGACUCCCGCUCAGUGGCUGUGUCGCAUGGGCCAGAGUGUGGAAAAUUCUCCACUUGCAUGGUUGCGACCGUAUUGCAUAACAGCUGCGAGUUUACUGUUCACAGAAUGCCCGUAGAAAACAUCAGCGCCAACAUCAGGAACUGCCACAUGCCUUUGUUCUCGUCACUGCACACUUUACAGCACUGGCCCUUUAGCCAAUCCUCUUCUGUUAUCGGGUACGAUGGAAGGUUUAGUGUCCUGAAUUAUUAAUAUGCAUUGUCAGUCUAGCGAUGAUUAGCUCUACUUAUUAUUUUUAUGGCACUUCCUGGUAUUUUAACACACAUUUAUAGCAAUAACAUUAAAUUCUCACACUUUAUCUUUCAGUCUUCAUUCUUUUUUGUAUUAUGGUUCAUUCAGAUUUAAACAAGCUAUGUUGAGGGGAAUCUUCAAACUAAAUAUAUGUACAGAAGUUUAUGUAUAUGAACAUAUUGUAAGUUGUGUUUUUGUAAUUUAUCUGGACAUAUUUUUUGGCCUUUUGUUCUUGGUGUCUGUUCUGUGCUAUCACACUGCUGGUAAAGAAAGCCUUGUUCUAUGUGUUUCUGAAUCAUGUAAGCCAGUAACUGGUACACAUAACAUUUAAAUGUUGCUCUGAAAGCAACCAAUCGUAUGUAUGCUAACUGAAGUGGGCCAUUUCAAAAUCAGCAGGUAGAUGAGGGUAAUUUGUGAAAAAGCGACCCUCUUGAAUUCAAUUUUUGUAAAUUUAGUUGAACAAAAAAUACACAGUAUUUAACUUUCUGGGGAUGAGUUCUUGAUCGUGCUGACAAAAAUCUGUCAAACAUCUGGGCACUUUCCUCUCAGCUAAGGAAAUAAUUGCCACAAAGCUUCCACUGGUCGUUAAUUGUGUGUAACAUGUUUCACAUCAGGUUUAAUAUCUGAAUAUAUGAUGCCUGUAACACAUAGCAUACAUUAUUAUGGCAAAGGAGUGAAAGUGUGAACUCUCUUGUGUGAGAAAAUCUCUUGUAAUGAAGUCAUGUUUUGUCUGGAUUUAGUUUCAGUGACUCACAACUUGCCACACUCUUCACUUGGACCAGAUAUCUGUGUACUGUAUUCUGCAGGCAACAUAGUUUGUUGAAUGUAUUUCUAUUACCAAGAACCACUGCUAUGGUAAUAUGUUUGUAAUUAUCUAUUUAUAUCUAAAUUAAAAAGCUGUAAUAAGUUUACUAACUGUAAUAAUCUAUUGUCAUGCUGAUUCAGUGCAGUAUUUAUGUAUUUAUGCUCCAAUAAAAUAUUAACAAUAUAGCCCUUUUGUGCCACAGGUGUGAGUAUGUGUUUAUUGUGUGGUAAUGUUAAGAGGGGAUAAUUAACUUAAUGGCUUAGUUCUCAGUCCUCAUAUAGUGUUGGAGGGAAAGGGG